Molecule: ribosomal RNA, 250 nt
Filed under: uncultured prokaryote
Description: partial 16S rRNA
Rfam family: Bacterial small subunit ribosomal RNA
Source: RNAcentral
ACGUAGGGGACGAGCGUUGUCCGGAUUUACUGGGCGUAAAGGGCGCGUAGGCGGUCAUUUAAGUCAGCUGUGAAAUGGUGCGGCUUAACCGCAUCAUGCGGUUGAAACUGGAUGACUGGAGUGCUGGAGAGGCAAGUGGAAUUCCCAGUGUGGCGGUGGAAUGCGGAGAUAUUGGGAAGAGCACCGGUGGCGAAGGCGACUUGCUGGCCAGCAACUGACAUUGAGGCGCGUAAGCCAGGGGAACAAACGG